AGGGAUCAUUACCGAGUUUACAACUCCCAAACCCCUGUGAACAUACCAUAUUGUUGCCUCGGCGGUGCCUGUUUCGGCAGCCCGCCAGAGGACCCAAACCCUAGAUUACAUUAAAGCAUUUUCUGAGUCAAUGAUUAAAUCAAUCAAAACUUUCAACAACGGAUCUCUUGGUUCUGGCAUCGAUGAAGAACGCAGCGAAAUGCGAUAAGUAAUGUGAAUUGCAGAAUUCAGUGAAUCAUCGAAUCUUUGAACGCACAUUGCGCCCGCCAGUAUUCUGGCGGGCAUGCCUGUCCGAGCGUCAUUUCAACCCUCAAGCCCCCGGGCUUGGUGUUGGAGAUCGGCGAGCCCCCCGGGGCGCGCCGUCUCCCAAAUAAGUGGCGGUCCCGCUGUAGCUUCCUCUGCGUAGUAGCACACCUCGCACUGGGAAACAGCGUGGCCACGCCGUAAAACCCCCCACUUCUGAAAGGUUGACCUCGGAUCAGGUAGGAAUACCCGCUGAACUUAA
RNAcentral lists this ribosomal RNA (505 nucleotides) under Ascomycota sp. H-23. Its description in RNAcentral is "eukaryotic LSU rRNA". The stretch from base 148 to 301 matches the Rfam family "5.8S ribosomal RNA". The record is from RNAcentral. Lineage: Eukaryota; Fungi; Ascomycota.